UGGGGAAUUUUGGACAAUGGGGGCAACCCUGAUCCAGCAAUGCCGCGUGAGUGAAGAAGGCCUUCGGGUUGUAAAGCUCUUUUGUCAGGGAAGAAACGGUAGUAGCGAAUAACUAUUACUAAUGACGGUACCUGAAGAAUAAGCACCGGCUAACUACGUGCCAGCAGCCGCGGUAAUACGUAGGGUGCAAGCGUUAAUCGGAAUUACUGGGCGUAAAGCGUGCGCAGGCGGUUGUGUAAGUCAGAUGUGAAAUCCCCGGGCUCAACCUGGGAAUUGCAUUUGAGACUGCACGGCUAGAGUGUGUCAGAGGGGGGUAGAAUUCCACGUGUAGCAGUGAAAUGCGUAGAUAUGUGGAGGAAUACCGAUGGCGAAGGCAGCCCCCUGGGAUAACACUGACGCUGAGGCUCGAAAGCGUGGGGAGCAAACAGGAUUAGAUACCCCCGUAGUCCCUGAGCGGGCUGGCAAGGCGCAU
This 472-nucleotide ribosomal RNA is filed under the name uncultured bacterium. RNAcentral's name for it is "bacterial SSU rRNA". It matches the Rfam family "Bacterial small subunit ribosomal RNA", at positions 355 to 825 of the family's 1533-position model. The record is from RNAcentral.